Molecule: long non-coding RNA, 299 nt
Filed under: Lathyrus oleraceus (garden pea)
Lineage: Eukaryota; Viridiplantae; Streptophyta; Magnoliopsida; Fabales; Fabaceae
Description: Pisum sativum (pea) long non-coding RNA (PSAT_LNC009836)
Source: RNAcentral
UAGUGCUCAUGUACUGAUGAUGUACGUACUAGUUUGAUUUCCUUUUGUUCUACAGGAUGUUGAUUGUUGUUGAUGAUGUACAUAGAUGAUGAUGAUGAAAGCUUGAAAAAGGGAUGGAAAGCACAUGAAGACUUGUUGCACCCAACAAAUUCUAUUUCCCCUUUCUUUUUAUUUUGUUUUUAUAAUAUUCAUUAUGAGAUGAAUAAGACAAACUCUUUAUUAUAACAUUUUGUUUUAUUUGGGAUAUACCAUGUAAAUAAUAAAGAUUAUCUCUUUUUUUCUAUUUUUGUACUUUGUGG